UUGUCCUACGGGGGGCAGCAGUGAGGAAUAUUGGUCAAUGGGCGGAAGCCUGAAUCAGCCAAGUCGCGUGAGGGAAUAAGGCCCUACGGGUCGUAAACCUCUUUUGCCGGGGAGCAAGGGCGGGGACGUGUCCCGGCCCGGAGAGUACCCGGAGAAAAAGCAUCGGCUAACUCCGUGCCAGCAGCCGCGGUAAUACGGAGGAUGCGAGCGUUAUCCGGAUUUAUUGGGUUUAAAGGGUGCGUAGGCGGGCUUUUAAGUGAGAUGUGAAAUACUCGGGCUCAACUUGAGUGCUGCAUUUCAAACUG
RNAcentral lists this ribosomal RNA (305 nucleotides) under uncultured bacterium. RNAcentral's name for it is "bacterial SSU rRNA". It matches the Rfam family "Bacterial small subunit ribosomal RNA", at positions 334 to 635 of the family's 1533-position model. The record is from RNAcentral.